This is a non-coding RNA of Struthio camelus australis, 573 nucleotides long. The record is from RefSeq and is a predicted model, not a curated record. NCBI's taxonomy places the organism in Eukaryota, Metazoa, Chordata, Aves, Struthioniformes, Struthionidae.
GGGACUGCAGUAGGGCCUGGGAGAGUGGCCCUCCGACGUGGUGCAGCUCUUUUUACCAGCAAAGGGAAGUGUAAGCGUUUCUCUUCUGUUGCAGUUUGCUGCAGGGCCGGGCUCGUACGAUCCAAAGGCCAUUGAGAGGUCAGAAUACUUCAACCAACCCCCAUUUUGGUCGUCUGCCAAGAGAUUUGAUAGAAAGUCCUGCCGCCUCUUUGCUGGGAAUGAGAAUCCUGUAGGUGCUGGUCGCUACAACAUCACCAGACACGAGAAAUAUCCUUGCAAGAUCAGGUACCAGUCCCUGUACCAGUGUGAAACACGGCGGUACCUGAGUAACCUGGAGCGGGAUGCCUACUUGCUUGAGCGGCUCAAGCCUUCUAUCAAAAACAACUGGAAUGAUUUGAUUGCUGCUCCGCAUUGCCCAGAUACCUCUGAAGCAAUCACUGCUGUUUUCUGAACUUAAGAUGGUGCUGGAAAGCAGUGAAAACCAUGAAUAAGGAAAACUGCAAAUAAGUUGUGAACACACCAGUGGAUGAGUCUGCAUAGAUGAAAAUACUUACAACAUGGAAUAAAAUUCAA